Mus caroli (Ryukyu mouse) is the source of this 2830-nucleotide long non-coding RNA. RefSeq lists it as uncharacterized. Lineage: Eukaryota; Metazoa; Chordata; Mammalia; Rodentia; Muridae. The record is from RefSeq and is a predicted model, not a curated record.
CCUAGAAUCUCAGUCUGAACACUUUCAAGGCAUUGACAGUUGCAGAACUGAAGUGAAUGAAGGUUCUGGUCACGGAGCCGUGAGUUGCCAUAGUUUUGGAUGACUUAUUUUUAUUUUUGUUCUCUUCUUACCCCAAGGGGCUCGUCCUGUGCAUUUAACCUUGACACCUAUGACGUCAUGCAUUUCCAGAGAACCUGGAGGACGGACGGCAGGCACCAAAGAAUGAGGGUAGAGGUAUGCAAUGAAGAAUGAGUCUUCUCUAUCUCAGGACAAAAGAGAAGCAGGAGUCUCAGGAGAUUAGGGUCCAGCUGAGGGCAGAAAGAAGAAGCUUGGUAGAAACGGUAAGAAUGCAGGAAUGGGGUUCCAAAAGGCAGGGAGGAGUAGAAGGCAGGGAGACAGACAGGAGAGAGAGAAAGCAUCCCUAGACUGUUCAAAGAGGCCUUCAGUGGUCAUACUUGUCAUAAGGAUGCUGUUGUGUUAACACAUGAAAGGCAUUCAGAGAAAUGAUCAACAUGUAGUCAGAUCUGAAGAAGUGUCAACCUGAGAGGGAAAAACAUUACCAGGUCACACUUUCCCCCAAAGUCACAAACAUCCAGUCACACAAGCCCUAACGAACAUAUCAUCAGGGCUGGAGAGAUGGCUCAGUGGUUAAAAACACUGGCUGCUCUUCCAGAGGUCCUGAGUUCAGUUACCAGCACCCACAUGGUGGCUCACAACCAUCUGUAAUGGGAUCUGAUGCCCUCCUCUGGCACAUGGGUGUUCAUGCAGAUAGAGCAUAUACAUAAAAAUAAAUAAAUAAGUCUUUUUUUUUUUAAAAAAAGAGAGCAUAUUAUCUUCUUGUCACACAGAACUAAAGUCCAACUUGCAAAGAAAAAAAAAGUCUGAGUUCCUGGUAGAUUUAGUUUCUUAUGCAUUUGAAGGUAGAGGCAGUUCAAGGUCAGCUUCAGAUACACAAUGUGUUCAAGACUACAUUGGGCUAAACAACAACAACAAAAACAAGCUCCCAAAACAAAAACAAGUCAGAGGCUGAAGAGCUAGCUCAACAAUUAAGAGUGUAUGUUGCUCUCAAAGAGGACCCAGGUUCACUUCUCAGCACCCACACAGUGGCUCACAAAAAUCUAAACUCCGGUUUCAAGAGAUUCCGCACUCUCCUCUGAUUUCCCUGGCACUGGGCAUGCAGGUGGUUUGUGUACAGGCGAACCCCGAGGACACUGCAGUAAAUGAAAUUAGCUAGUCACAAAUAGAUGGGCACUGUACGAUUCCUUCUCUAUAAACUGUCCAAUGUCAGGUUCACAGAAAAGAGAAAGAAAGUACUGUGUGGUUACCAGAUUCUUUGGUAAAGGCAAGUGGUUUAAUCGAUUUAGUUUUAGAUUUGAAGUAUAAAAAUGUUCUAGAAAUCUGUUUCUCAUUAGUGGGGGGCAUACACAACACCACUGAUGCACUCCAAGCAUGACCAUACAUUCCUGUAAGCCCAGCACAGCGCGCGCGGUGGGUGGGUGGGGUUGCUGAGUACAGGGGGCUAUGCAUUCCCAGGCAGUCAAGGUUACACACCCCAAACUCAAAGCACAAUGUAACAGCAAAAAAACCUGAAGAUUUUAUGUUGUAUGUGUGUGUUAUAUCACAAUUUAAAAAAAAACCAACAAAGACUAAAAAUGAUCUCCUUUUCUUUGUCUAGUAGAUGAAAAAGCCAAGAAAGGGUAACUCUACAUCCCAGGUUGUCAGUUCACAGACACAGAAUCAGGACCACAACAGCUGCAUUCUCUUUCUCUUCCUCCUCUCCCUCCCUUCCUUCUCCCCCUCCCUCUCCCCUUCCCUCCCCAUCCCCCUUUCUCUCUCUCUCUCUCUGGUGCUGAGGUAGAGAAAAAAGAGGAGGUGGCUGAUUUACAGACAGUGACAUUCCAUUGAACCCAAAAGGGAUCAAGACUCUCCUGUUCACAAAUGUUCCCAGUCCAUGCCCUUCCUCCUGAUCUCAUCUGGAUUAUUCAGAUCCACAGGAGCCCACAAGUCACCCUGGAAACCUUGAGCCACUCACAACUCCUGGAGUCUGAGCAACCCAUCAGAGGUUGAACCAGGAUGCCUAUAAAAAGCCUUCUGCGUUCCCCUACACACUCUUCACGAAUCCUCAGGAAGAACGGAAUAAGACAAGGGUCAGAGGGCUGGAGCCAGAUACUGAAGAUGCCAGGCUGGCUGGAGGCACUGGCGGCUGCACUUCCUCAGCCCGUCUCCUGUCUCUCUGGCUGGCAUAGCCUCUGCCUACACUCCUUUAAGGGAAUUGGUCAUGCUCCUGGCUAGCCUCACCUGUGUGUCUACUACUUACUGCACAAAGGAAAGGUUAUUUCCACGCUCAGUUUUCUAGACACUUAAAAGCACGGAUCUGUGAAUCAGUUAUGGUGGCAAAGAAUAAGUGGGAGAUUCAUCUUAACACCUGAGCUACCUGCCAUUCCUGUCUCUAGGACUUGCCUGCCAUGUAAAAGCCAAUUCAGGAAACAUCAAGAGCCUCAAGCUAACCCUACAAAGCAGGGGCCUCCCAGAGCUCACACCAACCAUAAAAGGAGAGAAAGAGGCCAGCAGCCCUCACUAACUCUACAUGUGUCACAUGCGCAGGAAUCAGAAGACAUGAAGACUUCUAUACAUCCUCUCAACUUCUCCUCCACCAGGUAUUCCCAUUUCCAAAUUUCCGGAAUCCAGAAACUAUAUUCCACCCUGUGGUGGUUUGAAUAUCCUUGGCCCAUGGAAAGUGACCCUAUUGGGAGGUGUGAUCUUAUUGGAGGAGGUGUUACCUUGUUAGAGGAAGUGUGUCACUGUGGGGGUGGGCUUUAGGGCUCCUAUG